RNAcentral lists this ribosomal RNA (200 nucleotides) under Didymella glomerata. Its description in RNAcentral is "partial large subunit ribosomal RNA". It matches the Rfam family "Eukaryotic large subunit ribosomal RNA", at positions 82 to 279 of the family's 3401-position model. Lineage: Eukaryota; Fungi; Ascomycota; Dothideomycetes; Pleosporales; Didymellaceae. The record is from RNAcentral.
AGUAACGGCGAGUGAAGCGGCAACAGCUCAAAUUUGAAAUCUGGCGUCUUCGACGUCCGAGUUGUAAUUUGCAGAGGGCGCUUUGGCAUUGGCAGCGGUCCAAGUUCCUUGGAGCAGGACGUCACAGAGGGUGAGAAUCCCGUACGUGGUCGCUAGCCUUUGCCGUGUAAAGCACCUUCGGCGAGUCGAGUUGUUUGGGA